Molecule: ribosomal RNA, 497 nt
Filed under: uncultured bacterium
Lineage: Bacteria
Description: partial 16S ribosomal RNA
Rfam family: Bacterial small subunit ribosomal RNA
Source: RNAcentral
GAUGAACGCUGGCGGCGUGCCUAAUACAUGCAAGUCGAGCGAACAGACGAGGAGCUUGCUCCUCUGACGUUAGCGGCGGACGGGUGAGUAACACGUGGAUAACCUACCUAUAAGACUGGGAUAACUUCGGGAAACCGGAGCUAAUACCGGAUAAUAUAUUGAACCGCAUGGUUCAAUAGUGAAAGACGGUUUUGCUGUCACUUAUAGAUGGAUCCGCGCCGCAUUAGCUAGUUGGUAAGGUAACGGCUUACCAAGGCGACGAUGCGUAGCCGACCUGAGAGGGGGGACGGGCCAAACGGGAAUGGAGAAAGGUCCAAAACACUAAGGGAGGGAAGAAGAGGGAAAGUUACGACAAGGGGGAAAGGCUGAACGAGGAAACGCGGCUGGGGGAAGGAAGGCCUCCGAACCUAAAAACCUGGUAAUAGGGAAGAAACAAUGGUUAAAGAAAUAAGCAACGUUUGAAGGUAACAAAUCAGAAAGCCACGGCUAACUACGUG